Long non-coding RNA from Arachis ipaensis, 854 nucleotides. RefSeq lists it as uncharacterized. The record is from RefSeq and is a predicted model, not a curated record. Lineage: Eukaryota; Viridiplantae; Streptophyta; Magnoliopsida; Fabales; Fabaceae.
CCUAAGAUAAUCAUUUGCUGCUGCCUACUGCCUACUGCCUAAUGCGUCCAUCGGAUUCCUGGUGCCACUGUCACCCACUAAUAAAUAUUCAGUAUCAUAUCAUCUACUACACUUACAGUUACAAUAACAUCACGUGGCCGAUCACAUGACCUUUCUGAGAUAUCUGUCUCCAUUUUCACCAAAUCCAAAGGCUACACAUACUACAAUACAAACAAGAUACAGCGGUCAAAAGUUGAGCACAUGAUCCCACAUGUUCCCUGUAGCCUCAGACAUACCAAUAAAUAAUGAAUGAAUCGCAAUUCCCAAAUCCCACCCAUAAUAAUAUCUCGUCAUUAGCUUCAAUACUCAAAAUGCAACAAGCACAACAACCAUAACAACCAAGAUACCCCUCACUACCAUGAAGGGCUGGUCCCUGCCACUUGCUACUCUUGCUCUUGUGCUAUCACUGUUAUUAUCAGCCUGUUCUAGGGCCAAAGCUGAGGCUCCCCCAUCCCGACAAGUGCGCUCUUUGUCAUUAACCAAAACUUCAUCCUCUCCUCAAGCUCCAAGAGAUUUGCCACCCCGGAAGAGUCGUUCCAAGCAGCUGGAUUCGUCUUUACGAAGAAUUCCACCAAGCAAAUCAAAUCCCACACAAAACAAGUUCAACCCUCCCUCAGAUGGUUGAGAGACAGAACAAACACUGCAGCAGUGCCAAACACACCCGUUUUUCUUCUCAUGUCUUUCAUUUUCUUCUUGUUUCCCUUUCUAAGCAAACAGAACUGUUAGUGUACAAUGGUGUUUUGCCUUCCAACUGCCAAGUGCCAGUGAUUAUAUGUACAACAGUUUAUAUUGUAUUUCACAGUUUUGCUAACCAA